This 740-nucleotide ribosomal RNA is filed under the name uncultured bacterium. RNAcentral describes it as "bacterial SSU rRNA". It matches the Rfam family "Bacterial small subunit ribosomal RNA", at positions 33 to 773 of the family's 1533-position model. The record is from RNAcentral.
ACGCUAGCGGGAGGCCUAACGCAUGCAAGCCGAGCGGUAUUUGUUCUUCGGGACAGAGAGAGCGGCGUACGGGUGCGGAACACGUGUGCAACCUGCCUUUAUCUGGGGGAUAGCCUUUCGAAAGGAAGAUUAAUACCCCAUAAUAUAUUGAAUGGCAUCAUUCGAUAUUGAAAACUCCGGUGGAUAGAGAUGGGCACGCGCUAGAUUAGAUAGUUGGUGAGGUAACGGCUCACCAAGUCAAUGAUCUUUAGGGGGCCUGAGAGGGUGAUCCCCCACACUGGUACUGAGACACGGACCAGACUCCUACGGGAGGCAGCAGUGAGGAAUAUUGGACAAUGGGUGCAAGCCUGAUCCAGCCAUCCCGCGUGAAGGACUAAGGCCCUAUGGGUUGUAAACUUCUUUUAUACUGGGAUAAACCUACUUACGUGUAAGUAGCUGAAGGUACAGUAUGAAUAAGCACCGGCUAACUCCGUGCCAGCAGCCGCGGUAAUACGGAGGGUGCAAGCGUUAUCCGGAUUUAUUGGGUUUAAAGGGUCCGUAGGCGGAUUCGUAAGUCAGUGGUGAAAUCUCAUAGCUUAACUAUGAAACUGCCAUUGAUACUGCGAGUCUUGAGUGAGAUUGAGGUAGCUGGAAUAAGUAGUGUAGCGGUGAAAUGCAUAGAUAUUACUUAGAACACCAAUUGCGAGGGCAGGUUACCAAGUCUUAACUGACGCUGAGGGACGAAAGCGUGGGGAGCGAAC